This is a non-coding RNA of Fusarium venenatum, 73 nucleotides long. Lineage: Eukaryota; Fungi; Ascomycota; Sordariomycetes; Hypocreales; Nectriaceae. The record is from the annotation of a RefSeq genome assembly.
GGCCUUGUGGCGUAAUGGCUAACGCGUCUGACUUCUAAUCAGAAGAUUCUGGGUUCGACCCCCAGCUCGGCCU